This is an unclassified non-coding RNA of Pongo abelii (Sumatran orangutan), 148 nucleotides long. It matches the Rfam family "Metazoan signal recognition particle RNA". From Rfam's summary of the family: The signal recognition particle (SRP) is a universally conserved ribonucleoprotein. It is involved in the co-translational targeting of proteins to membranes. The eukaryotic SRP consists of a 300-nucleotide 7S RNA and six proteins: SRPs 72, 68, 54, 19, 14, and 9. The record is from Ensembl. NCBI's taxonomy places the organism in Eukaryota, Metazoa, Chordata, Mammalia, Primates, Hominidae.
GCUGGGUGUGGUGGCGCACACCUGUAGUCCCAGCUACUUGGGAGGCCAAGGCAGAAGAAUCACUUGAACCUGGGAGAUAGAAGUUGCAGUGAGCCGAGAUCACGCCACUGCAUUCCAGCCUGGGUGACAGAGUGAGAUUCUGUCUCAA